AUCACUUAUCGGCCUUUUGGCUAAGAUCAAGUGUAGUAUCUGUUCUUAUCAGUUCAAUAUCUGAUAUGUCCUCUAUCCAAGAACAAUAUAUUAAAUGGAUUUUUUGGAGCUUGGAGUUGGAAUAGGAGCUUGCUCUGUCCACUCCAUGCAUCGACCUGGUAUUGUAGUACUUCCAGGAACGGUGCACCCCUU
Molecule: small nuclear RNA, 192 nt
Organism: Jaculus jaculus (lesser Egyptian jerboa)
Lineage: Eukaryota; Metazoa; Chordata; Mammalia; Rodentia; Dipodidae
Gene: U2
Rfam family: U2 spliceosomal RNA
About the family: U2 is a small nuclear RNA (snRNA) component of the spliceosome (involved in pre-mRNA splicing). Complementary binding between U2 snRNA (in an area lying towards the 5' end but 3' to hairpin I) and the branchpoint sequence (BPS) of the intron results the bulging out of an unpaired adenosine, on the BPS, which initiates a nucleophilic attack at the intronic 5' splice site, thus starting the first of two transesterification reactions that mediate splicing.
Source: Ensembl